This 656-nucleotide ribosomal RNA is filed under the name Pseudomonadaceae bacterium por-3-10-10. RNAcentral's name for it is "bacterial SSU rRNA". It matches the Rfam family "Bacterial small subunit ribosomal RNA", at positions 1 to 669 of the family's 1533-position model. The record is from RNAcentral. Lineage: Bacteria; Pseudomonadati; Pseudomonadota; Gammaproteobacteria; Pseudomonadales; Pseudomonadaceae.
GGAACUUUUAAUCACCCCAGGCUAAUUUUCGCUUAUCAACCGUCGAGCGGCAGCGGGUCCUUCGGGAUGCUGGCGAGCGGCGGACGGGUGAGUAAUGCCUAGGAAUCUGCCUGGUAGUGGGGGAUAACUCGGGGAAACUCGAGCUAAUACCGCAUACGUCCUACGGGAGAAAGCGGGGGAUCUUCGGACCUCGCGCUACCAGAUGAGCCUAGGUCGGAUUAGCUAGUUGGUGAGGUAAAGGCUCACCAAGGCGACGAUCCGUAGCUGGUCUGAGAGGAUGAUCAGCCACACUGGAACUGAGACACGGUCCAGACUCCUACGGGAGGCAGCAGUGGGGAAUAUUGGACAAUGGGCGAAAGCCUGAUCCAGCCAUGCCGCGUGUGUGAAGAAGGUCUUCGGAUUGUAAAGCACUUUAAGUUGGGAGGAAGGGCAGUAAGCUAAUACCUUGCUGUUUUGACGUUACCGACAGAAUAAGCACCGGCUAACUUCGUGCCAGCAGCCGCGGUAAUACGAAGGGUGCAAGCGUUAAUCGGAAUUACUGGGCGUAAAGCGCGCGUAGGUGGUUUGAUAAGUUGGAUGUGAAAGCCCCGGGCUCAACCUGGGAAUUGCAUCCAAAACUGUCUGACUAGAGUAUGGCAAGAGGGGUGGUGGAAUUU